This 429-nucleotide ribosomal RNA is filed under the name Bacillota bacterium. RNAcentral describes it as "Firmicutes bacterium partial 16S ribosomal RNA". It matches the Rfam family "Bacterial small subunit ribosomal RNA", at positions 355 to 776 of the family's 1533-position model. Lineage: Bacteria; Bacillati; Bacillota. The record is from RNAcentral.
UAGGGAAUCUUCGGCAAUGGACGGAAGUCUGACCGAGCAACGCCGCGUGAGUGAAGAAGGUUUUCGGAUCGUAAAGCCCUGUUGUUAGAGAAGAACGUUGGUAGGAGUGGAAAAUCUACCAAGUGACGGUAACUAACCAGAAAGGGACGGCUAACUACGUGCCAGCAGCCGCGGUAAUACGUAGGUCCCGAGCGUUGUCCGGAUUUAUUGGGCGUAAAGCGAGCGCAGGCGGUUCUUUAAGUCUGAAGUUAAAGGCAGUGGCUUAACCAUUGUACGCUUUGGAAACUGGAGGAAUUGGGUGCAGAAGGGGAGAGUGGGAUUCCAUGGGUAGCGGUGAAAUGCGUAGAUAUGUGGAGGAAAACCGGUGGCGAAAGCGGCUCUCUGGUCUGUAACUGACGCUGAGGCUCGAAAGCGUGGGGAGCAAACAGG